UAACCAUAGAAACAGAGAAAAAGACUAAACAUAAAAACCAUGAAAAUGGUGUCAUUGUCAGAUGAAAUAAGCCAUUCAAAAAUGUCAAACAUGUACAACUUACAUUUAUUCCAUAAUUAUGCCAAAAGUAGUGAUCCUAUACAUGUACAAUGUAGCUUAUAGCUUAUGAGAAACAUUGAUGACCUUCGGCUAUUGUCUGCUCUGAAGUUGGGUUGUUGUCUUUUUUGGCACAUUCCCCAUUUCCAGUGUCAAUUUUAUUAGCAUGAUUAGGAAGUAUAAACUGAGAAACAAACCUAACCAUGUUAACAUUGUAUCAAACUGAAAUAACCUUAAUCACUUAAAUUAUCCAUGAAGGUCAAGGUCAGGUCAACCCAACCUGAUAGACAAGUAGAUCUUUCAAGAUACUCAUAUACAAUAAAAUGU
RNAcentral lists this long non-coding RNA (423 nucleotides) under Mytilus galloprovincialis (Mediterranean mussel). Lineage: Eukaryota; Metazoa; Mollusca; Bivalvia; Mytilida; Mytilidae. The record is from RNAcentral.